Molecule: ribosomal RNA, 122 nt
Filed under: Chinchilla lanigera (long-tailed chinchilla)
Lineage: Eukaryota; Metazoa; Chordata; Mammalia; Rodentia; Chinchillidae
Source: RNAcentral
GUCUACGGCCAUACAACCCUGAACGCACCCGAUCUCAUCUGAUCUCGGAAGCUAAGCAGGGUCUGGCCUGAUUAGUACUUGGAUGGGAAUAGAAAUGAGAAGAAAAUGUGUUUCUCCAGACA